Molecule: ribosomal RNA, 497 nt
Filed under: uncultured bacterium
Lineage: Bacteria
Description: partial 16S ribosomal RNA
Rfam family: Bacterial small subunit ribosomal RNA
Source: RNAcentral
GAUGAACGCUGGCGGCGUGCCUAAUACAUGCAAGUCGAGCGAACAGAUGAGGAGCUUGUUCUUCUGACGUUAGCGGCGGACGGGUGAGUAACACGUGGAUAACCUACCUAUAAGACUGGGAUAACUUCGGGAAACCGGAGCUAAUAACGGAUAAUAUAUUGAACCGCAUGGUUCAAUAGUGAAAGACGGUUUUGCUGUCACUUAUAGAUGGAUCCGCGCCGCAUUAGCUAGUUGGUAAGGUAACGGCUUACCAAGGCAACGAUGCGUAGCCGACCUGAGAGGGUGAGCGGGCACACUGGAACUGAGACACGGUCCAGACUCCUACGGGAGGCAGCAGUAGGGUAACGUCCGCAAGGGGCGAAAGCCUGACGGAGCAACGCCGCGUGAGGGAUGAAGGGCUUCGGAUCGUAAAACUCUGUUAUUAGGGAAGAACAAAUGUGUAAGUAACUAUGCACGUCUUGACGGUACCUAAUCAGAAAGCCACGGCUAACUACGUG